RNAcentral lists this transfer RNA (73 nucleotides) under Camelus bactrianus (Bactrian camel). It matches the Rfam family "tRNA". From Rfam's summary of the family: Transfer RNA (tRNA) molecules are approximately 80 nucleotides in length. Their secondary structure includes four short double-helical elements and three loops (D, anti-codon, and T loops). Further hydrogen bonds mediate the characteristic L-shaped molecular structure. tRNAs have two regions of fundamental functional importance: the anti-codon, which is responsible for specific mRNA codon recognition, and the 3' end, to which the tRNAs corresponding amino acid is attached (by aminoacyl-tRNA synthetases). tRNAs cope with the degeneracy of the genetic code in two manners: having more than one tRNA (with a specific anti-codon) for a particular amino acid; and 'wobble' base-pairing, i.e. permitting non-standard base-pairing at the 3rd anti-codon position. Lineage: Eukaryota; Metazoa; Chordata; Mammalia; Artiodactyla; Camelidae. RNAcentral also lists the same sequence under 1 other name. The record is from Rfam by way of RNAcentral.
GACGGUAUAGCUCUAAAGGUAGAGCUCACGCUUAGCACGCACGAGGUCCUCGGUUCAAUCCCUGGUACCUUCG